CCGGAUGCUGCCUGCCCAGGCGCGGCCGCUACAACGCCUCACGAACAGGCCGUAAGGUCCAAAGUCAUCGUGUUCAGAAGCGCUCCGAAAAAAUGUCCUCCUGAAAAUAACAAACACUGGCGCGUCGUGACUUGAAAAGGAGAUCACCCGCGCAGAACCGCUCGUCCAUAGUCCAUUGCGAAACCGGUUUCCUUUGCAAAACGACACACGCUACGCGUAAGGUAGGGCUUGCCCAGAAAUUACCAAAGUCUGUAAUGGGUGUGGUGUAAUUAGUGUGGUGCAUUGAUGGAAGGAAGGUAGUUAGAUGCAUUUCAAUGCCGUACAUGUUUAUAAUGCGACUUGAAGGAUUGGACGUACUUAUGCAAAAAGGAAUGGCUGAGAGGAAUAUAGGGUGCUUGAUCAGAAGUCGUGGACAAUACUGGUGUUAAUAAUUUUCCGCGGCCGAGGUGUGUGUGAUUGUUACAGCCGAGGUUACGGCCGAGAUGAUUGCUCACUUGCAUGUCAAGAGAAAUGCAUGAAAUGACAGGCACAUCAAGGAUGUAAUUGGUGUGUCGCGCUGAAACAAGGGCACGACAAUCUAACAAGAAAUGCCUGUUAUUCCAAGUCGUCGGCUGCUGGGUCCCCUAGCGGACACGCUAGACGUGCUGCGUUUUCUGAGUCAGAAGCCUAUACACUUCUGCCAGGCUGGGCAACAUGCAGUUGUAUUCGACACGUUGUUGUGAUGAGUAUAACGUAAAGGCUUAGCAAUUGGUUCAUGGACUGUUACACCAUUUGCGGCACAUAUUCAUAAAAGACGAGUACCGACUGUGACUCUGCCGUAAAAAAUAGCGCAGCGGCGGGUUGGUGGCUUGAGCCGUUCCACGCCAGCUGUGACGAAUAGUCAGCCUGUGUUAACACAUCACUGAUGCGAAAAUAUUCCGAAUCGAUAAAGUAAGAGCCGCGCGAGAGGCGCCACCAAGAAUGACCGAUAACACUACUUUCGGAACAGGCUCCCUCCCCUCUCCUCUCCUCUCCUCUCCUCUCCUCUCCUCUCCUCUCCU
Molecule: long non-coding RNA, 1040 nt
Filed under: Volvox carteri
Lineage: Eukaryota; Viridiplantae; Chlorophyta; Chlorophyceae; Chlamydomonadales; Volvocaceae
Description: long non-coding RNA (VCAR_LNC001186)
Source: RNAcentral